This is a long non-coding RNA of Hyaena hyaena (striped hyena), 664 nucleotides long. RefSeq lists it as uncharacterized. The record is from RefSeq and is a predicted model, not a curated record. The transcript has 3 exons. Lineage: Eukaryota; Metazoa; Chordata; Mammalia; Carnivora; Hyaenidae.
AUAUGAUAAAAAGGUAAUUAGUGGAUCCUAGUACAGGAAAAUCUAAGAAGCCUUCACUAUUUCUGCACUAUUCACAUAUAGUACACCUGUACAGCUCUACUAGUUAGAGGACAUCAAAUUAAGAUCCCUUCAAUCUGUGGAAGCUCUGCUCAUUUCCCUGGCCACAAUUUACCACACUGGGCCAACUCAAGCAUUUCACAAACUGAGCAUGGAUCACAAAAACAUUACCUAGCAAAAGUGAAGUCAGUUGCAUAUCAGUCUCAACUCCUAGAAAAAAUAAUUGGCAGCAUCAAAGAAAGCAAUCAAUGCAUUUUGAUCAGAACUGUCCAGAAUCUCCAGUAAAAGAGUUCAUGGUCUCUCAUCUUCAGGAAAGAAAGUGAAAAACUAACAACAGGAAGAUGUUUAAGUUGGACUGGAAGUCAGAAAUAACAGGACUAUCAAAACCAAUUUAUUUACCAGCAUUCCCUGAGGUGAAACAGAAAGGAAAUAUAACAUUUGAGGCUAAUAUUAUAAUAAGAUCCUGUUCACAGAGAACUCAAAUGCUAAACAGUAUUUAUUCACAACAGGUAUUUGGGAGAGAGAAGUGUUACUCUACUGAGAUCAGAAUGGUAAUAUAUGAGAAAGAUAGGAAAGUCCAACUCAAACCACCCAUUAAAAGAAGACA